This 72-nucleotide transfer RNA is filed under the name Gloeocapsopsis dulcis AAB1 = 1H9. RNAcentral's name for it is "tRNA-Thr". It matches the Rfam family "tRNA". Rfam says of the family: Transfer RNA (tRNA) molecules are approximately 80 nucleotides in length. RNAcentral also lists the same sequence under 1 other name. Lineage: Bacteria; Bacillati; Cyanobacteriota; Cyanophyceae; Chroococcidiopsidales; Chroococcidiopsidaceae. The record is from RNAcentral.
GCUGGUGUAGCUCAGUGGUAGAGCAGCGGUUUUGUAAACCGCCGGUCGCGGGUUCGAAUCCCAUCACCAGCU